Molecule: ribosomal RNA, 253 nt
Filed under: uncultured bacterium
Lineage: Bacteria
Description: partial 16S ribosomal RNA
Rfam family: Bacterial small subunit ribosomal RNA
Source: RNAcentral
UACGUAGGGUGCGAGCGUUAAUCGGAAUUACUGGGCGUAAAGCGUGCGCAGGCGGUUCGUUGUGUCUGAUGUGAAAGCCCCGGGCUCAACCUGGGAAUGGCAUUGGAAACUGGCGAGCUAGAGUGUGGCAGAGGGGGAUGGAAUUCCGCGUGUAGCAGUGAAAUGCGUAGAUAUGCGGAGGAACACCGAUGGCGAAGGCAGUCCCCUGGGCCUGUACUGACGCUCAUGCACGAAAGCGUGGGGAGCAAACAGG